This is an RNA transcript of Eleginops maclovinus (Patagonian blennie), 1552 nucleotides long. It is a transcript of the gene named betaine--homocysteine S-methyltransferase 1-like, with no coding region annotated. The transcript is spliced from 8 exons. Lineage: Eukaryota; Metazoa; Chordata; Actinopteri; Perciformes; Eleginopidae. The record is from RefSeq and is a predicted model, not a curated record.
GCCGCACUCCGCUUCCAGAGCUACUUGUAUACAUAUAUAUAUAUAUAUAUAUAUAUAUCUGUUUUGUGCAGUCCCAACUCAUGUCAAAGGAGCUCAUGCAUAUAAGUUCUUCAAAGUACUGCAAGCCAGCACAUUAUUUACCAUGAGCAAGAGAAAGGGUAUCUUGGAGCGCCUUAAUGCUGGGGAGGUGGUUGUAGGAGAUGGCGGUUAUGUGAUGCAGCUGGAGCGGCGUGGAUAUGUAAAGGCUGGACACUGGACACCUGAAGCUGCUGUUGAACAUCCUGAAGCAGUGCGGCAGCUGCACAGGGAGUUUCUGCGAGCAGGAGCCAACGUGAUCCAGACCUUUACCUUCUACUGCAGUGAGGAUAAACUGGAGAUCAGUGGCAAUGUCAAAAGCAUCACCGGGUCCGAGAUCAAUGAGGCAGCCUGUGACAUGGCCCGGGAGGUAGCAAAUGAGGGGGAUGCGUUGGUCGCUGGGGGUGUUUCCCAAACUCCCUGCUAUGUGCAGAGUCACAAUGAAACUGAGGUGAAGGCCAUCUUUAAGAAACAGAUGGAUGACUUCAUGAAGAAGGACAUUGACUUCCUUAUUGCAGAGUAUUUUGAACAUGUGGAAGAGGCGGUGUGGGCAGUGGAAGUGAUGAAGACCAGCGGUAAAACCGUAGGUUCAACACUUUGCAUCUCACCUCACGGAGACAUGGACGGAGUCCCACCUGGAGAGUGUGCUGUCAGGCUGGUCAAAGCAGGAGCUGAAAUUGUCGGGAUAAAUUGCCACUUGGACCCUCUGACAUGCGUUCGUACGGUGAAGUUGAUGAAAGCAGGAUUAGAGAAAGCGGGCCUCAAAGCUCAUCUCAUGAUCCAGCCGCUGGGCUUCCACACUCCUGAGUGCAACCUGGGCGGAUACCUCGCGCUACCUGAGUUCCCCUUUGGUCAGCAUUUUCUUUCGUAUAGGAUAAUAAAAGAAGAACACAGCACUGGAGACCAGAGCAAUGACCCGCUGGGACAUGCAGAAAUAUGCGAGAGAGGCUUACAAUGCUGGAAUUCGAUACAUUGGUGGCUGCUGUGGAUUUGAGCCCUACCAUAUCAGAGCUAUAGCAGAAGAGUUGGCUGCUGAGAGAGGAUUCCUGCCUCCAGCCUCGGAGAAGCAUGGACUGUGGGGAGCUGCUCUGGAGAUGCACACUAAGCCCUGGGUCAGAACCAGGGCUCGUCGGGAGUACUGGGAAAACCUUCUGCCUGCUUCUGGACGUCCACAAUGCCCCUCCAUGGCCACACCAGCUGAUGAAUAAGAAGGAGGAUCACCAAUAGAUAGAAUCAAACAUCACAACACAAUCAUGAAUGGUAGAAUUUCAGCGUACUGUAUUUCCCGAUCAGAUGUCUACAAAAUCGGUCUACUGUUUGCUAUGACUGAAAUCCUCAACACAUUUUAUGUAUUGGGAUUUUAUCCUUCACGGCCUUCAUUAGAUCUAAAUGAUCCUCACAGUCGUGUCAUAUUUGUAAGAUUGCUGAAAUCCGCUACAAAAUGUUUCAGAUUUAAUUAAAAAAGGAAUAAAUCUCA